RNAcentral lists this ribosomal RNA (447 nucleotides) under uncultured bacterium. RNAcentral's name for it is "partial 16S ribosomal RNA". It matches the Rfam family "Bacterial small subunit ribosomal RNA", at positions 29 to 507 of the family's 1533-position model. The record is from RNAcentral.
AACGAACGCUAUCGGUAUGCUUAACACAUGCAAGUCGGACGGACUAAUUAGGGCUUGCUCCAAUUAGUUAGUGGCAGACGGGUGAGUAACACGUGGGAAUCUGCCCAUCAGUACGGAAUAACUUUUAGAAAUAAAAGCUAAUACCGUAUAUUCUCUACAGAGGAAAGAUUUAUCGCUGAUGGAUGAGCCCGCGUCAGAUUAGGUAGUUGGUGAGGUAACGGCUCACCAAGCCGACGAUCUGUAGCUGGUCUGAGAGGAUGAUCAGCCACACUGGGACUGAGACACGGCCCAGACUCCUACGGGAGGCAGCAGUGGGGAAUAUUGGACAAUGGGCGAAAGCCUGAUCCAGCAAUGCCGCGUGAGUGAUGAAGGCCUUAGGGUUGUAAAGCUCUUUUAGCAAGGAAGAUAAUGACGUUACUUGCAGAAAAAGCCCCGGCUAACUCCGUG